UACGUAGGGGCCGAGCGUUGUCCGGAGUUACUGGGCGUAAAGCGUGCGCAGGCGGCGCGUUCUGCCCGGCGUGAAAGCCCCCGGCUCAACCGGGGAACGUCGUCGGGGACGGGCGCGCUUGAGGGCGGCAGGGGCUGGUGGAAUUCCCGGUGUAGUGGUGAAAUGCGUAGAGAUCGGGAGGAACACCUGUGGCGAAGGCGGCCAGCUGGGCCGACCCUGACGCUGAGGCACGAAGGCGUGGGGAGCGAAC
This 250-nucleotide ribosomal RNA is filed under the name uncultured Nitrolancea sp. RNAcentral describes it as "partial 16S ribosomal RNA". It matches the Rfam family "Bacterial small subunit ribosomal RNA", at positions 524 to 773 of the family's 1533-position model. The record is from RNAcentral. Lineage: Bacteria; Pseudomonadati; Thermomicrobiota; Thermomicrobia; Sphaerobacterales; Sphaerobacteraceae.